RNAcentral lists this ribosomal RNA (1509 nucleotides) under human gut metagenome. RNAcentral describes it as "bacterial SSU rRNA". It matches the Rfam family "Bacterial small subunit ribosomal RNA". The record is from RNAcentral.
AGAGUUUGAUCCUGGCUCAGGAUGAACGCUAGCUACAGGCUUAACACAUGCAAGUCGAGGGGCAUCAGGAAGAAAGCUUGCUUUCUUUGCUGGCGACCGGCGCACGGGUGAGUAACACGUAUCCAACCUGCCCUUUACUCGGGGAUAGCCUUUCGAAAGAAAGAUUAAUACCCGAUAGCAUAAUGAUUCCGCAUGGUUUCAUUAUUAAAGGAUUCCGGUAAAGGAUGGGGAUGCGUUCCAUUAGGUUGUUGGUGAGGUAACGGCUCACCAAGCCUUCGAUGGAUAGGGGUUCUGAGAGGAAGGUCCCCCACAUUGGAACUGAGACACGGUCCAAACUCCUACGGGAGGCAGCAGUGAGGAAUAUUGGUCAAUGGGCGCUAGCCUGAACCAGCCAAGUAGCGUGAAGGAUGAAGGCUCUAUGGGUCGUAAACUUCUUUUAUAUAAGAAUAAAGUGCAGUAUGUAUACUGUUUUGUAUGUAUUAUAUGAAUAAGGAUCGGCUAACUCCGUGCCAGCAGCCGCGGUAAUACGGAGGAUCCGAGCGUUAUCCGGAUUUAUUGGGUUUAAAGGGAGCGUAGGUGGACUGGUAAGUCAGUUGUGAAAGUUUGCGGCUCAACCGUAAAAUUGCAGUUGAUACUGUCAGUCUUGAGUACAGUAGAGGUGGGCGGAAUUCGUGGUGUAGCGGUGAAAUGCUUAGAUAUCACGAAGAACUCCGAUUGCGAAGGCAGCUCACUGGACUGCAACUGACACUGAUGCUCGAAAGUGUGGGUAUCAAACAGGAUUAGAUACCCUGGUAGUCCACACAGUAAACGAUGAAUACUCGCUGUUUGCGAUAUACAGUAAGCGGCCAAGCGAAAGCAUUAAGUAUUCCACCUGGGGAGUACGCCGGCAACGGUGAAACUCAAAGGAAUUGACGGGGGCCCGCACAAGCGGAGGAACAUGUGGUUUAAUUCGAUGAUACGCGAGGAACCUUACCCGGGCUUAAAUUGCAGUGGAAUGAUGUGGAAACAUGUCAGUGAGCAAUCACCGCUGUGAAGGUGCUGCAUGGUUGUCGUCAGCUCGUGCCGUGAGGUGUCGGCUUAAGUGCCAUAACGAGCGCAACCCUUAUCUUUAGUUACUAACAGGUUAUGCUGAGGACUCUAGAGAGACUGCCGUCGUAAGAUGUGAGGAAGGUGGGGAUGACGUCAAAUCAGCACGGCCCUUACGUCCGGGGCUACACACGUGUUACAAUGGGGGGUACAGAAGGCAGCUAGCGGGUGACCGUAUGCUAAUCCCAAAAGCCUCUCUCAGUUCGGAUCGAAGUCUGCAACCCGACUUCGUGAAGCUGGAUUCGCUAGUAAUCGCGCAUCAGCCACGGCGCGGUGAAUACGUUCCCGGGCCUUGUACACACCGCCCGUCAAGCCAUGGGAGCCGGGGGUACCUGAAGUACGUAACCGCAAGGAUCGUCCUAGGGUAAAACUGGUGACUGGGGCUAAGUCGUAACAAGGUAGCCGUACCGGAAGGUGCGGCUG